This 529-nucleotide ribosomal RNA is filed under the name Porphyromonadaceae bacterium. Its description in RNAcentral is "partial 23S ribosomal RNA". It matches the Rfam family "Bacterial large subunit ribosomal RNA", at positions 1478 to 2002 of the family's 2925-position model. Lineage: Bacteria; Pseudomonadati; Bacteroidota; Bacteroidia; Bacteroidales; Porphyromonadaceae. The record is from RNAcentral.
AAGGGUAUGUGCGCGGACGAUCGGUUGUGUCCGUAGAAGUAUGUAGGGUGACUUAGUAGGUAAAUCCAUUAAGUUAUAUCUGAGGUAUGAUAUACAGUCGUAAGAUGAAUGUGCAAAUCCCACGCUGCCAAGAAAAGCUUCUAACGUUAAUAUUUGACUGCCCGUACUGCAAACCGACACAGGUGGUCAGGAUGAGAAAUCUAAGGCGGACAGGCUAACUCUCGUUAAGGAACUCUGCAAAAUAACCUCGUAACUUCGGGAGAAGAGGAGCCCUUGAGGGUCAGUAUCCACGCGAUACAAAGCGCUCGAGGGUCGCAGUGAAGAGGCUCAAGCAACUGUUUAACAAAAACACAGGUCUAUGCUAAGCUGGAAGGCGAUGUAUAUGGGCUGACACCUGCCCAGUGCUGGAAGGUUAAGAGGAGGAGUGAGAGCUCCGAAUUGAAGCCCCAGUGAACGGCGGCCGUAACUAUAACGGUCCUAAGGUAGCGAAAUUCCUUGUCGGGUAAGUUCCGACCUGCACGAAUGGUGU